Molecule: unclassified non-coding RNA, 357 nt
Filed under: soil metagenome
Description: partial contains 5.8S ribosomal RNA, internal transcribed spacer 2, and large subunit ribosomal RNA
Rfam family: 5.8S ribosomal RNA (bases 1-120)
Source: RNAcentral
GAUGAAGAACGCAGUGAAAUGCGAUAAGUAAUGUGAAUUGCAGAAUUCAGUGAAUCAUCGAAUCUUUGAACGCACAUUGCGCCCGUCAGUAUUCUGGCGGGCAUGCCUGUUCGAGCGUCAUUACGCCCCUCAAGUCCCCUGUGGACUUGGUGUUGGGGAUCGGCGAGGCUGGUUUUCCAGCACAGCCGUCCCUUAAAUUAAUUGGCGGUCUCGCCGUGGCCCUCCUCUGCGCAGUAGUAAAACACUCGCAACAGGAGCCCGGCGCGGUCCACUGCCGAAAAACCCCCCAACUUUUUAUAGUUGACCUCGAAUCAGGUAGGACUACCCGCUGAACUUAAGCAUAUCAAUAAGCGGAGG